CUAGGCCACGAAUUAAUCAAUCACCCCUGCUGUGGACCACUUUCUGGAAGCCCAAGGUGCCGACUUCUACAAAGAAGGGAUCCGUAUGCUCCACAACUCCUGGACUAAUAAGAUGACCUGGAAGCUGGAGAGGUUGGUGCCCAUGAUGGACCUGACUGAGUUUACAACUUUCUGCAAUUUAUUUCGAUCUUGUGCACACCAUACCAGACGGCGAUGGAACCAGCUGGAAUGAUCUCCAUGGCACAGCUAUAGAAAUUGGGUUCUUCCAAGUUGCUGAAUUCUACAGAGGAUGCCAGCAACUACUCAGAAAGCUGCUAAAAGAGGGAGAACUCAUACAUCAUGGAGCCACACAAAAAAAAGAAGCAGACACUCAGCCCACAACGUACA
Mobula hypostoma (lesser devil ray) is the source of this 387-nucleotide long non-coding RNA. RefSeq lists it as uncharacterized. The transcript has 3 exons. Lineage: Eukaryota; Metazoa; Chordata; Chondrichthyes; Myliobatiformes; Myliobatidae. The record is from RefSeq and is a predicted model, not a curated record.